This 253-nucleotide ribosomal RNA is filed under the name uncultured bacterium. RNAcentral describes it as "partial 16S ribosomal RNA". It matches the Rfam family "Bacterial small subunit ribosomal RNA", at positions 524 to 776 of the family's 1533-position model. The record is from RNAcentral.
UACGAAGGGGGCUAGCGUUGCUCGGAAUUACUGGGCGUAAAGCGCACGUAGGCGGCUCUUUAAGUCGGGGGUGAAAUCCUGGAGCUCAACUCCAGAACUGCCUUUGAUACUGAAGAUCUUGAGUCCGGGAGAGGUGAGUGGAACUGCGAGUGUAGAGGUGAAAUUCGUAGAUAUUCGCAAGAACACCAGUGGCGAAGGCGGCUCACUGGCCCGGUACUGACGCUGAGGCACGAAAGCGUGGGGAGCAAACAGG